CAUAGGUUAAUGAGGCGAACCGGGGGAACUGAAACAUCUAAGUACCCCGAGGAAAAGAAAUCAACCGAGAUUCCCCCAGUAGCGGCGAGCGAACGGGGAGGAGCCCAGAGCCUGAAUCAGUGUGUGUGUUAGUGGAAGCGUCUGGAAAGGCGCGCGAUACAGGGUGACAGCCCCGUACACAAAAAUGCACAUAUUGUGAGCUCGAUGAGUAGGGCGGGACACGUGGUAUCCUGUCUGAAUAUGGGGGGACCAUCCUCCAAGGCUAAAUACUCCUGACUGACCGAUAGUGAACCAGUACCGUGAGGGAAAGGCGAAAAGAACCCCGGCGAGGGGAGUGAAAAAGAACCUGAAACCGUGUACGUACAAGCAGUGGGAGCCUCUUAAUGGGGUGACUGCGUACCUUUUGUAUAAUGGGUCAGCGACUUAUAUUCUGUAGCAAGGUUAACCGAAUAGGGGAGCCGAAGGGAAACCGAGUCUUAACUGGGCGUUAAGUUGCAGGGUAUAGACCCGAAACCCGGUGAUCUAGCCAUGGGCAGGUUGAAGGUUGGGUAACACUAACUGGAGGACCGAACCGACUAAUGUUGAAAAAUUAGCGGAUGACUUGUGGCUGGGGGUGAAAGGCCAAUCAAACCGGGAGAUAGCUGGUUCUCCCCGAAAGCUAUUUAGGUAGCGCCUCGUGAAUUCAUCUCCGGGGGUAGAGCACUGUUUCGGCAAGGGGGUCAUCCCGACUUACCAACCCGAUGCAAACUGCGAAUACCGGAGAAUGUUAUCACGGGAGACACACGGCGGGUGCUAACGUCCGUCGUGAAGAGGGAAACAACCCAGACCGCC
Molecule: ribosomal RNA, 831 nt
Filed under: Escherichia coli
Lineage: Bacteria; Pseudomonadati; Pseudomonadota; Gammaproteobacteria; Enterobacterales; Enterobacteriaceae
Description: partial 23S ribosomal RNA
Rfam family: Bacterial large subunit ribosomal RNA
Source: RNAcentral